GAUGAACGCUGGCGGCGUGCUUAACACAUGCAAGUCGAACGAGAAGUGAAGACGGAAACCUUCGGGCGGAAGGCUUUAUUUCGAGUGGCGGACGGGUGAGUAACGCGUGGGUAACCUGCCUCAUACAGGGGGAUAACAGUUGGAAACGACUGUUAAUACCGCAUAAGACCACAGCACCGCAUGGUGCGGGGGUAAAAACUCCGGUGGUAUGAGAUGGACCCGCGUUCGAUUAGCCAGUUGGCGGGGUAACGGCCCACCAAAGCGACGAUCGAUAGCCGAUCUGAGAGGAUGACCGGCCACAUUGGGACUGAGACACGGCCCAAACUCCUACGGGAGGCAGCAGUGGGGAAUAUUGCACAAGGGGGGAAACCCUGAUGCAGCGACGCCGCGUGAGUGAAGAAGUAUUUCGGUAUGUAAAGCUCUAUCAGCAGGGAAGAAAAUGACGGUACCUGAGGAAGAAGCCCCGGCUAACUACGUG
This 478-nucleotide ribosomal RNA is filed under the name uncultured bacterium. RNAcentral's name for it is "partial 16S ribosomal RNA". It matches the Rfam family "Bacterial small subunit ribosomal RNA", at positions 28 to 507 of the family's 1533-position model. The record is from RNAcentral.